Hibiscus syriacus is the source of this 96-nucleotide long non-coding RNA. RefSeq lists it as uncharacterized. The record is from RefSeq and is a predicted model, not a curated record. The transcript has 3 exons. Lineage: Eukaryota; Viridiplantae; Streptophyta; Magnoliopsida; Malvales; Malvaceae.
AAAAAGGAAGAGUUUUCGAAGCUCAGGUGUACGGAAACAGACAAGAGAGGAGAGAAAGAAGGAAUAGGGAGAUUUGUUUUCAGACCAUAUCCAAAG